This 253-nucleotide ribosomal RNA is filed under the name uncultured bacterium. Its description in RNAcentral is "partial 16S ribosomal RNA". It matches the Rfam family "Bacterial small subunit ribosomal RNA", at positions 524 to 776 of the family's 1533-position model. The record is from RNAcentral.
UACGUAGGGGGCAAGCGUUGUCCGGAUUUAUUGGGCGUAAAGAGCGUGUAGGCGGCCAGGUAGGUCCGUUGUGAAAACUGGAGGCUUAACCUCCAGCUGUCGAUGGAAACCAUCUGGCUAGAGUCCGGAAGAGGAGAGUGGAAUUCCUGGUGUAGCGGUGAAAUGCGCAGAUAUCAGGAGGAACACCGAUUGCGAAGGCAGCUCGCUGGGACGUUACUGACGCUGAGACGCGAAAGCGUGGGGAGCAAACAGG